AACGCUAGCUACAGGCUUAACACAUGCAAGUCGAGGGGNAANCGACAUUGGAAGCUUGCUUCCGAUGGGCGUCGACCGGCGCACGGGUGAGUAACGCGUAUCCAACCUGCCCACCACUUGGGAAUAACCUUGCGAAAGUAAGACUAAUGCCCAAUGACGUUGAAAGAAGACAUCUGAUUUCAACUAAAGAUUCAUCGGUGAUGGAUGGGGAUGCGUCCGAUUAGCUUGUUGGCGGGGUAACGGCCCACCAAGGCAACGAUCGGUAGGGGUUCUGAGAGGAAGGUCCCCCACAUUGGAACUGAGACACGGUCCAAACUCCUACGGGAGGCAGCAGUGAGGAAUAUUGGUCAAUGGGCGAGAGCCUGAACCAGCCAAGUAGCGUGCAGGAUGACGGCCCUAUGGGUUGUAAACUGCUUUUAUAAGGGAAUAAAGUGGGGCUCGUGAGCUCCUUUGCAUGUACCUUAUGAAUAAGGACCGGCUAAUUCCGUGCCAGCAGCCGCGGUAAUACGGAAGGUCCGGGCGUUAUCCGGAUUUAUUGGGUUUAAAGGGAGCGUAGGCCGCAGGUUAAGCGUGUUGUGAAAUGUAGGGGCUCAACCUCUGCACUGCAGCGCGAACUGGCUUGCUUGAGUACGCACAACGUGGGCGGAAUUCGUGGUGUAGCGGUGAAAUGCUUAGAUAUCACGAAGAACUCCGAUUG
Molecule: ribosomal RNA, 697 nt
Filed under: uncultured bacterium
Lineage: Bacteria
Description: bacterial SSU rRNA
Rfam family: Bacterial small subunit ribosomal RNA
Source: RNAcentral